CCCUCCCUCUUUCUUCCUGCCUAACACAUGCAAGUCGAACGAGACCUUCGGGUCUAGUGGCGCACGGGUGCGUAACGCGUGGGAACCUGCCCUUAGGUUCGGAAUAACUCCCCGAAAGGGGUGCUAAUACCGGAUAAUGUCUUCGGACCAAAGAUUUAUCGCCUUUGGAUGGGCCCGCGUUGGAUUAGCUAGUUGGUAGGGUAAAAGCCUACCAAGGCGACGAUCCAUAGCUGGUCUGAGAGGAUGAUCAGCCACACUGGGACUGAGACACGGCCCAGACUCCUACGGGAGGCAGCAGUGGGGAAUAUUGGACAAUGGGCGAAAGACUGAUCCAGCAAUGCCGCGUGAGUGAUGAAGGCCUUAGGGUUGUAAAGCUCUUUUAACCGGGAUGAUAAUGACAGUACCGGGAGAAUAAGCUCCGGCUAACUCCGUG
RNAcentral lists this ribosomal RNA (433 nucleotides) under uncultured bacterium. RNAcentral describes it as "partial 16S ribosomal RNA". It matches the Rfam family "Bacterial small subunit ribosomal RNA", at positions 36 to 507 of the family's 1533-position model. The record is from RNAcentral.